This 76-nucleotide transfer RNA is filed under the name Pseudomonadota bacterium. RNAcentral describes it as "tRNA-Lys". It matches the Rfam family "tRNA". Rfam says of the family: Transfer RNA (tRNA) molecules are approximately 80 nucleotides in length. Their secondary structure includes four short double-helical elements and three loops (D, anti-codon, and T loops). Lineage: Bacteria; Pseudomonadati; Pseudomonadota. RNAcentral also lists the same sequence under 1 other name. The record is from RNAcentral.
GGGCCUCUAGCUCAACUGGUAGAGCAUCGGACUCUUAAUCCGCAGGUUCCGGGUUCAAGCCCCGGGGGGCCCACCA